CUUCAGGCGAUUACUUCUAUGGAUGUGACUAUAAAUUUUCACGUAUCGAGGUGAGAUUGGUAGGAGAGCACAUAAAAAAAUAUAAAUAUACACGGAAUGGACGUACCGUCAGAGAGAAACGAUUGCCUAUAUAUAGCAUAAGCUAUCAUUAACGGUGUUGAAGAAGUAUAUAGCAUAGAUUAUAACUAUCGGCAUGAUGCUUGUUAUCAAUGUAUUUUAAGCUAUAAAACG
RNAcentral lists this long non-coding RNA (231 nucleotides) under Mytilus galloprovincialis (Mediterranean mussel). The record is from RNAcentral. Lineage: Eukaryota; Metazoa; Mollusca; Bivalvia; Mytilida; Mytilidae.